Molecule: ribosomal RNA, 433 nt
Filed under: uncultured bacterium
Lineage: Bacteria
Description: partial 16S ribosomal RNA
Rfam family: Bacterial small subunit ribosomal RNA
Source: RNAcentral
AACGAACGCUGGCGGCAUGCCUAACACAUGCAAGUCGAACGAGACCUUCGGGUCUAGUGGCGCACGGGUGCGUAACGCGUGGGAAUCUGCCCUUGGGUUCGGAAUAACAGUUUGAAACGACUGCUAAUACCGGAUGAUGACGUAAGUCCAAAGAUUUAUCGCCCAAGGAUGAGCCCGCGUAGGAUUAGCUAGUUGGUGAGGUAAAGGCUCACCAAGGCGACGAUCCUUAGCUGGUCUGAGAGGAUGAUCAGCCACACUGGGACUGAGACACGGCCCAGAAUCCUACGGGAGGCAGCAGUGGGGAAUAUUGGACAAUGGGCGAAAGCCUGAUCCAGCAAUGCCGCGUGAGUGAUGAAGGCCUUAGGGUUGUAAAGCUCUUUUACCCGGGAUGAUAAUGACAGUACCGGGAGAAUAAGCUCCGGCUAACUCCGUG